This 891-nucleotide ribosomal RNA is filed under the name uncultured bacterium. RNAcentral's name for it is "bacterial SSU rRNA". It matches the Rfam family "Bacterial small subunit ribosomal RNA", at positions 8 to 916 of the family's 1533-position model. The record is from RNAcentral.
AGAGUUUGAUCAUGGCUCAGGAUAAACGCUGGCGGCGUGCUUCAGGCAUGCAAGUCGAACGAGCUUCCAGACUUCGGUUUGGCGGCUAGUGGCGGACGGGUGAGUAACACGUAAGUAACCUGCCCAGAAGUGGGGAAUAACUGACCGAAAGGUUAGCUAAUACCGCAUGUGAUGGUCUUUCUCCGGAUUGACCAUUAAAGGAUUUAUUCGCUUCUGGAGGGGCUUGCGGUCGAUUAGCUUGUUGGUGGGGUAAUGGCCUACCAAGGCCGCGAUCGAUAGCUGGUCUGAGAGGACGAACAGCCACACGGGGACUGAGAUACGGCCCCGACUCCUACGGGAGGCAGCAGCUAGGAAUCUUGGGAAUGGGCGAAAGCCUGACCCAGCAACGCCGCGUGGGCGAUGAAGGCCUUCGGGUCGUAAAGCCCUUUUGCAGGGGAAGAUGAUGACGGUACCCUGCGAAUAAGCCACGGCUAACUACGUGCCAGCAGCCGCGGUAAUACGUAGGUGGCGAGCGUUGUCCGGAUUUACUGGGCGUAAAGGGCGUGCAGGCGGUUGUUUAAGUCUAGGGUGAAAGCUCCCGGCUCAACUGGGAGAGGUCCUUGGAUACUGGCCGACUUGAGGAGAGUAGAGGAAAGUGGAAUUCCCGGUGUAGUGGUGAUAUGCGUAGAUAUCGGGAGGAACACCAGUGGCGAAGGCGGCUUUCUGGGCUCUACCUGACGCUGAGACGCGAAAGCGUGGGGAGCGAACCGGAUUAGAUACCCGGGUAGUCCACGCCGUAAACGAUGGACACUAGGUGUGGGGGGUAUCGACCCCUUCCGUGCCGAAGCUAACGCAGUAAGUGUCCCGCCUGGGGAGUACGGCCGCAAGGCUAAAACUCAAAGGAAUUGACGG